AACGAACGUUGGCGGCGUGGAUUAGGCAUGCAAGUCGAGCGCGAAACGUAGCAAUACGUGGAAAGCGGCGAAAGGGAGAGUAAUACAUAGGUACGUACCCUUGGACCUGGGAUAGCGGCGGGAAACUGCCGGUAAUACCAGAUAAUGUCUCCGGACCAAAGGUGUGAUUCCGUCUGAGGAGCGGCCUAUGUCCUAUUAGCUAGUUGGUAAGGUAACGGCUUACCAAGGCAAAGAUGGGUAUGGGGUGUGAGAGCAUGCCCCCACUCACUGGGACUGAGACACUGCCCAGACACCUACGGGUGGCUGCAGUCGAGAAUCUUCGGCAAUGGACGCAAGUCUGACCGAGCGACGCCGCGUGCGGGAUGAAGGCCUUCGGGUUGUAAACCGCUGUCGUAGGGGAGGAAAUGCAGGUGGGUACUCCCAUCUGCUUGACUGAUCCUAGGAGGAAGGACCGGCUAAUCUCGUGCCAGCAGCCGCCGCAG
Molecule: ribosomal RNA, 482 nt
Filed under: uncultured bacterium
Lineage: Bacteria
Description: partial 16S ribosomal RNA
Rfam family: Bacterial small subunit ribosomal RNA
Source: RNAcentral